GAACUCAUGACCUUGUGCUUGCCAGGCCUGAAUGAUGUCUUAGAUGGCCCAGUGCCUUGAGGACCCAACUGGGCCAUGCUCUGCCCUCACUCACUGAGAACUUCGGUGGCAACUAGGGGAAGAAUGUAUCUACCACGUCCCUGCCAGCCUCCUGAGACAUGGCAGUGCCCAGUGGAUUGGUUUUAGGUUUCAUUUCCCAGUGCUUUGGCCUUGGGAAGAAACAAGAGACAUGUUGGAGAAUGGGGAAGUUCCCAGGCACUAACCACACCCACGUAAUGGAACUCAAGGAUUGUGCAAACCUCAAGACCCAAUGAGCAAGGCUGCCACAGGAAGAGGGUGGAGCAGAGCUUCCUGCAAGUGCCUUCCCCUUCUAACUUAGGACUGCUAAAGUAGACUGCCACUUAGCUUUUGCCUUAGCUUUUGCCCUUAGCUUUUGCCUUAGCUUUUGCCCAGGCACGUUUGGAUACGGAUUAGUUUGAUGGCCAGACCGCGAUUACUGCUGCUGCUGCUGCUCCUUGUAGUGCAGGUGAGAAUGCUGCCCUGUUGUAGCUCUAGGACAAGGGAGGGAGCUCGAGGACAAGGGAGGGAGC
Molecule: long non-coding RNA, 590 nt
Filed under: Chinchilla lanigera (long-tailed chinchilla)
Lineage: Eukaryota; Metazoa; Chordata; Mammalia; Rodentia; Chinchillidae
Description: lncRNA (ENSCLAG00000026351.1)
Source: RNAcentral